Molecule: ribosomal RNA, 93 nt
Filed under: Pseudonocardia sp. Ae505_Ps2
Lineage: Bacteria; Bacillati; Actinomycetota; Actinomycetes; Pseudonocardiales; Pseudonocardiaceae
Source: RNAcentral
GUUGUCGGUGGUCAUUGCGGUAGGGGAACGCCCGGUCCCAUUCCGAACCCGGUAGCUAAGCCUUCCAGCGCCGAUGGUACUGCACUCGCCAGG